This 70-nucleotide transfer RNA is filed under the name Bryobacteraceae bacterium. Its description in RNAcentral is "tRNA-Arg". It matches the Rfam family "tRNA", at positions 15 to 71 of the family's 71-position model. Rfam says of the family: Transfer RNA (tRNA) molecules are approximately 80 nucleotides in length. Lineage: Bacteria; Pseudomonadati; Acidobacteriota; Terriglobia; Bryobacterales; Bryobacteraceae. The record is from RNAcentral.
ACGCCACAAGAGUCAGAGCGUUUGCCUCCGGAGCAAAAGGCCGCAGGUUCGAAUCCUGCCGGGCGUACCA